GGAGAGUUACCCAAGCGGUUCAAGGGGGCGCACUCGAAAUGCGUUAGGCCGGGUGACCGGUGCGUGGGUUCGAAUCCCAUGCUCUCCGCGA
This 91-nucleotide transfer RNA is filed under the name Stomatobaculum longum. Its description in RNAcentral is "tRNA-Ser". It matches the Rfam family "tRNA". From Rfam's summary of the family: Transfer RNA (tRNA) molecules are approximately 80 nucleotides in length. Their secondary structure includes four short double-helical elements and three loops (D, anti-codon, and T loops). The record is from RNAcentral. Lineage: Bacteria; Bacillati; Bacillota; Clostridia; Lachnospirales; Lachnospiraceae.